This 467-nucleotide ribosomal RNA is filed under the name uncultured bacterium. Its description in RNAcentral is "partial 16S ribosomal RNA". It matches the Rfam family "Bacterial small subunit ribosomal RNA", at positions 28 to 507 of the family's 1533-position model. The record is from RNAcentral.
GAUGAACGCUGACAGAAUGCUUAACACAUGCAAGUCGACUUGAAUUUGGGUUUUUACCUUAGGUUUGGGUGGCGGACGGGUGAGUAACGCGUAAAGAACUUGCCUCACAGCUAGGGACAACAUUUGGAAACGAAUGCUAAUACCUAAUAUUAUGAUAAUAGGGCAUCCUAUAAUUAUGAAAGCUAUAAGCGCUGUGAGAGAGCUUUGCGUCCCAUUAGCUAGUUGGAGAGGUAACGGCUCACCAAGGCGAUGAUGGGUAGCCGGCCUGAGAGGGUGAUCGGCCACAAGGGGACUGAGACACGGCCCGUACUCCUACGGGAGGCAGCAGUGGGGAAUAUUGGACAAUGGACCGAGAGUCUGAUCCAGCAAUUCUGUGUGCACGAUGAGGUUUUUCGGAAUGUAAAGUGCUUUCAGUUGGGAAGAAACAAAUGACGGUACCAACAGAAGAAGUGACGGCUAAAUACGUG